Molecule: long non-coding RNA, 1643 nt
Organism: Protopterus annectens (West African lungfish)
Lineage: Eukaryota; Metazoa; Chordata; Ceratodontiformes; Protopteridae
Exons: 4
Source: RefSeq, a predicted model, not a curated record
UCAACAAUGACACUGAACUGAGCAAGGAUUCUUAACCUUGGUGGUGCUGUUGCUGCUUUCAUAGUAGAACAUCUGGGAUUAGCUCUUAAUGAACUAUUUAGGCUGGACCUUUGACCGACCACAUAUAUUGUCAGGAUCAUUUCAACCUAAAUCUCGCUGAAGGUAGAAAAGGCAGGAUCUCUAUACAAGUCAUGCCAAUUGAUAAUUAGAGGAUCUGUUCUAGUAAACCUGUGCUGGAUGACUAAUACACAAGGUCUUUACAAGAAAGCAGCACUGUUUUGAUUCACAUGGAGUCCUAUCAUGAUGUCCCCCUCAUUAUGGGCUUGUGACACUGGUACUGAUUAGCUGUGAUGAGGCUACUUAUCUUCCUGAUUAGAUGGUUAUCACAAGGAUAAAUCACUCAUUGCGUAUUUGCAAGGCAGUUAGAAACCAAUACUGCAUGGCUGUGCAUAACAAAGAAAAACACAUCAUAAACCAUUUUUUUCAGAAAUGGGUACUAUUUUAGCGGUAAUAUCCUUUAGAAAGAAAUGCUACUUCCAGCUGAAUUUGAGGCAGAUAAGAACUCUCUUAUUGUUUUAUGGAUUUAGCAGGCUGUCAUUUCCUCUUUAAAGGAUUUACAUACAAAUGAGUAGCAAUCCAGCACAGGUUACUGUCUUUCAUCACGCUUUCUGUUCUUAUGAACCUGUUCUUGAAUGAUUCGCCUACGCUAUAUAUGAUGCAAAGGAGUACAGUAUCUUGCAUUUCUUAUAUUCCUUUGAAUCAUUACUAUUGUUCUCAGUUGAGUUCUUUGAGAACAGCUGGUACAUUUGCAUUGUAUAAUGUUUUUGUUUUGAUGAAGAGUGAGCAAUGAAGAAUUCUCAAUUAAAACCCUAAUUUGAAAAAAGCCAUCUCUUUGUGUAUUUCUCUCUGCGGGUGGUUCACACACUAAAUGUCUCAGCUUUUAAACAACAUUACUGUUGGUUUAAACUAAAUCAUUGUAAAAGCUUUCACAUAUAGUGAUCACAGAUGCAUGCAGCAAGGAAAAGACAUUUUGAGCAGUAGUCACUGUGCAUUCUGUGUCCUGUUGUCACCUUCAUCUGAAGGGCAUUUGGGCGACAUGAUGACUCCUGAUGAGGUAUAUUUCACAUGCCUCCCCCACCUCAGGGACCUCCACUCCAAAUGCAAAUGGCAUUGUUGAAGAUAGUAGCUGGCAGGUGAAGGAAGCUGAAGCAAUACCUCCUCGUCUCCCCUAAGAUAUGUUAUUCUCAGCAUGAAGCCUGCAGCUAUGUCUGUCCUCGCAACUUGGCAGAUUUGCCAUUUUAAGCAGAAUGUUUCUUAAAGAAAGCGCCUUUAAACCUGUGGCAUACUUAGGAUUUUUUGUUACACUGUAUUUUGGUCAAUGCUUUUUUAUUUAUUUUUUUUUUGUGACCUUUGCUUUUGAAGAUGCAUGCAGUAAGUUGGCAUCUUACAUGUGAGGUGAUCUCGGACAAAUUACUUUGUUUGUAAGGCACUUCCCCAGGCUACAGUUUGAGAUGUCUGUAUGAAAUGCUUGUUAAAAUCUAUUUCAGAAGGAAGAUUGUCAGUGUGUACUUUGCAUAUUAACUUUCACAAAUGUAACACCAAAGGUGCUUUGCCUCAGCCCUAGAUAAAGUAGUGCAAGAAAU